CGAGGCGUAGCACAUUUGACUCAUGCGGUCGCAGGUUCAACUCCUGCCGCCUUGGCCA
RNAcentral lists this transfer RNA (58 nucleotides) under Desulfovibrio piger. RNAcentral describes it as "tRNA-OTHER". The record is from RNAcentral. Lineage: Bacteria; Pseudomonadati; Thermodesulfobacteriota; Desulfovibrionia; Desulfovibrionales; Desulfovibrionaceae.